This 118-nucleotide ribosomal RNA is filed under the name Pteropus alecto (black flying fox). The record is from RNAcentral. Lineage: Eukaryota; Metazoa; Chordata; Mammalia; Chiroptera; Pteropodidae.
UUUUAAAGAAUUUUCUUCUGAACAAGCCCAAUCCCGUCUGAUCUCAGAAGCUAAGCGGGGUCGGGCCUGGUUACUACUCAUAUGGGAGACCACCUAGGAAGACCUGGUGCUGUAGACA